Molecule: ribosomal RNA, 405 nt
Filed under: uncultured bacterium
Lineage: Bacteria
Description: partial 16S ribosomal RNA
Rfam family: Bacterial small subunit ribosomal RNA
Source: RNAcentral
GAUGAACGCUGGCGGCGUGCCUAAUACAUGCAAGUCGAGCGACGCGUGGACGGGUGAGUAACACGUGGAUAACCUCCUAUAAGACUGGGAUAACUUCGGGAAACCGGAGCUAAAACGGAUACUUAUAGAUGGUUCCGCGCCGCAUUAGCUAGGUGGUAAGGUAACGGCUUACCAAGGAGACGAUGCGUAGCCGACCUGAGAGGGUGAUCGGCCACACUGGAACUGAGACACGGCCCAGACUCCUACGGGAGGCAGCAGUAGGGAAUCUUCCGCAAUGGGCGAAAGCCUGACGGAGCAACGCCGCGUGAAUGAUGAAGGCCUUCGGAUCGUAAAACUCUGUUAUUAGGGAAGCGGUACCUAAACAGAAAGCCACGGCUAACUACGUGCCAGCAGCCGCGGUAAUAC